UUAAUCGAAACCAAAAAGAGGUAUAUCACUGUUAAUGAUAUCAUUGAAUCACUAUUCCGAUUAAA
This 65-nucleotide transfer RNA is filed under the name Nemoptera coa. Its description in RNAcentral is "tRNA-Asn". Lineage: Eukaryota; Metazoa; Arthropoda; Insecta; Neuroptera; Nemopteridae. The record is from RNAcentral.